UACGUGGGACCCAAGCGUUAUCCGGAAUUACUGGGCGUAAAGAGUUGCGUAGGUGGCAAAGUAAGUUGGUAGUGAAAGCCUGGGGCUCAACCCCUUCAACAUUAUCAAAACUGCUUAGCUAGAGGAUGAGAGAGGUCGCUGGAAUUUCUAGUGUAGGAGUGAAAUCCGUAGAUAUUAGAAGGAACACCGAUGGCGUAGGCAGGUGACUGGCUCAUUCCUGACACUAAGGCACGAAAGCGUGGGGAGCGAACGGG
Molecule: ribosomal RNA, 254 nt
Filed under: uncultured bacterium
Lineage: Bacteria
Description: partial 16S ribosomal RNA
Rfam family: Bacterial small subunit ribosomal RNA
Source: RNAcentral